AGAUUGAACGCUGGCGGUAUGCUUAACACAUGCAAGUCGAACGGCAGCACAGGGUAGCUUGCUAUCCGGGUGACGAGUGGCGGACGGGUGAGUAACGCGUAGGAAUCUACCUUUUCGUGGGGGAUAACCCGGGGAAACUCGGGCUAAUACCGCAUACGAUCUAAGGAUGAAAGCAGGGGACCGCAAGGCCUUGUGCUCCUGGAGCGGCCGAUAUCUGAUUAGCUAGUUGGGUAGGUAAAGGCCUACAAGGCUACGAUCAGUAGCUGGUCUGAGAGGACGACCAGCCACACUGGAACUGAGACACGGUCCAGACUCCGUACGGGAGGCAGCAGGUAGGGAAUUUUGGAACUAAGUGGGACGCGAAGCCUGAU
This 371-nucleotide ribosomal RNA is filed under the name uncultured soil bacterium. RNAcentral describes it as "bacterial SSU rRNA". It matches the Rfam family "Bacterial small subunit ribosomal RNA", at positions 26 to 387 of the family's 1533-position model. The record is from RNAcentral.